AUACGGAGGAUCCAAGCGUUAUCCGGAUUUAUUGGGUUUAAAGGGUGCGUAGGCGGACUGGUAAGUCAGCUGUGAAAGUUUGCGGCUUAACCGUAAAAUUGCAGUUGAUACUGUCAGUCUUGAGUGUGCAUGAGGUGGGCGGAAUUUGUGGUGUAGCGGUGAAAUGCUUAGAUAUCACGAGGAACUCCAAUUGCGAAGGCAGCUCACUGGGACAUAACUGACGCUGAUGCACGAAGGUGUGGGUAUCAAACAGGAUUAGAUACCCUGGUAGUCCACACAGUAAACUAUGAAUACUCGCUGUUUGCGAUAUACAGUAAGCGGCCAAGCGAAAGCAUUAAGUAUUCCACCUGGGGAGUACGCCGGCAACGGUGAAACUUAAAGGAAUUGACGGGG
RNAcentral lists this ribosomal RNA (393 nucleotides) under uncultured bacterium. RNAcentral describes it as "partial 16S ribosomal RNA". It matches the Rfam family "Bacterial small subunit ribosomal RNA", at positions 523 to 918 of the family's 1533-position model. The record is from RNAcentral.